GGGUUGUGAGGUUAAGCGACUAAGCGUACACGGUGGAUGCCCUGGCAGUCAGAGGCGAUGAAGGACGUGCUAAUCUGCGAUAAGCGCCGGUAAGGUGAUAUGAACCGUUAUAACCGGCGAUUUCCGAAUGGGGAAACCCAGUGUGAUUCGUCACACUAUCAUUAACUGAAUCCAUAGGUUAAUGAGGCGAACCGGGGGAACUGAAACAUCUAAGUACCCCGAGGAAAAGAAAUCAACCGAGAUUCCCCCAGUAGCGGCGAGCGAACGGGGAGGAGCCCAGAGCCUGAAUCAGCAUGUGUGUUAGUGGAAGCGUCUGGAAAGGCGCGCGAUACAGGGUGACAGCCCCGUACACAAAAGCGCAUGUGCUGUGAGCUCGAUGAGUAGGGCGGGACACGUGGUAUCCUGUCUGAAUAUGGGGGGACCAUCCUCCAAGGCUAAAUACUCCUGACUGACCGAUAGUGAACCAGUACCGUGAGGGAAAGGCGAAAAGAACCCCGGCGAGGGGAGUGAAAAAGAACCUGAAACCGUGUACGUACAAGCAGUGGGAGCCCCACCACUAAGCCAGUGGUGAACUCCACAUCCGCAUCCUUUGCUGAGGAUACGGUUAACGGAGCG
Molecule: ribosomal RNA, 615 nt
Filed under: Salmonella enterica subsp. enterica serovar Typhimurium
Lineage: Bacteria; Pseudomonadati; Pseudomonadota; Gammaproteobacteria; Enterobacterales; Enterobacteriaceae
Description: partial 23S ribosomal RNA
Rfam family: Bacterial large subunit ribosomal RNA
Source: RNAcentral